Molecule: ribosomal RNA, 254 nt
Filed under: uncultured bacterium
Lineage: Bacteria
Description: partial 16S ribosomal RNA
Rfam family: Bacterial small subunit ribosomal RNA
Source: RNAcentral
UACGAGGGGGGCGAGCGUUAUUCGCACAAACUGGGCGUAAAGUGUCUUUAGGCGGAUCUUCGUGUGUUAGCAGCUUAAGUAUAGAACGUUAUUCUAUAAUGUUUGCUAAGACUGUUUUUCUUGAGUUUUAGAGGGGUUAGUAGUAUUUCUUCAAGAGGGUUAAAAUUCUUGGAAAGAAGAAGGAGUGUCAUGGGUGAAGACAACUAACUAGCUAAAACUGACGCCAAAGGACUAAAGCGUAGGGAGCGAUCGGG